CAGGUCUUGACAUCCCACUGACCGGCUUAGAGAUAGGCUUUUCCCUUCGGGGACAGUGGUGACAGGUGGUGCAUGGUUGUCGUCAGCUCGUGUCGUGAGAUAUUGGGUUAAGUCCCACAACGAGCGCAACCCUUGAUCUUAGUUGCCAGCAUUCAGUUGGGCACUCUAAGGUGACUGCCGGUGAUAAACCGGAGGAAGGUGGGGAUGACGUCAAAUCAUCAUGCCCCUUAUGACCUGGGCUACACACGUGCUACAAUGGACGAUACAAAGGGCUGCAAACCCGCGAGGGGGAGCCAAUCCCAUAAAAUCGUUCUCAGUUCGGAUUGUAGGCUGCAACUCGCCUACAUGAAGCCGGAAUCGCUAGUAAUCGUGGAUCAGCAUGCCACGGUGAAUACGUUCCC
RNAcentral lists this ribosomal RNA (401 nucleotides) under uncultured bacterium. RNAcentral's name for it is "bacterial SSU rRNA". It matches the Rfam family "Bacterial small subunit ribosomal RNA", at positions 975 to 1375 of the family's 1533-position model. The record is from RNAcentral.